Poecilia reticulata (guppy) is the source of this 2655-nucleotide long non-coding RNA. RefSeq lists it as uncharacterized. NCBI's taxonomy places the organism in Eukaryota, Metazoa, Chordata, Actinopteri, Cyprinodontiformes, Poeciliidae. The record is from RefSeq and is a predicted model, not a curated record.
CACUGAAAUGUUUUCUUUAUCACAGAAGAAGUGAAUGUAUUUUUUUUAGGGGGUGGGGGGACAAACAGCUCUGCCUGCUGAGCUGAAACGAACAUUCCUGACAAGAUUUGGUUGAGGAGAGGAUACCGUGCUGUCUCGUUGCUCUACUCAGGAUUCAGCUAUAAACAUAUGAAAUAACAUUUUGCAAAGAUGGAAAAGGCAGAAAGCAGAAACAAGCAUUUUUUUCUUCYCUUUUUCUUCCUCUCCCUACAAACUUUUCUUUCCUUUCCCACAGUUUUUUUUUUCUUUUUGUCUCCCCCAGCACCACCUCCUGUUGGAAAUUACCUUUAAGACAAAGCGGCUAUGUGUUGCGACAUGGCAUGCUUACUGUACCCCGUGCCUGUUGGGAUUUUCAGAGCACAACCUUCCAGGCAUGGCUGCACAGGAUGAUUACACAGCAGUGGAAAAUGAUGGAUAGUUAGGAUUCAGAAGCUAAACUGGAAGCACAGAAGAUAAAAAAAAAUACAUCAUUUUUUGUGUCAAAGCAAAAUCAGGCAAGGUGAUAUUCUGACAUUUCUAAAAAGACUUAACAGAAAGCAUCUGGGACUGAGCCAAUAACCAGAAAAUAAUGACAUCUGUGAUGAAAUUCCCAACCAUUUCUGAAUGAAAUAAUUACAUUUCAAGUCACAGACCAAGAAGUAGAGCCUCUGGUUCGAAUUUCCCUCACGUGACCUCGCGCCCUCCAAAACAACAGAAUACUUUCCAUGCAGUCCUGACACUCUGGGGAUUAGGGAAGGUAAUUCUACAAAGACCAGGCCCGGCGCUCUCCUCCUCAUCCUUCACUGACUGAUAUGUAGGGGAAGUGGGACCCUGACCUACUCCUGACUGGCGGAAAUUGCUCUGACCUCUCAGCGAUUUUGAGAGGAAGCCAGACCUGGCACAUAGGUGCACUGGCGCUAUGGCAACCUCUUCUGACCCCGAGGACCUUUGGCUGGCCUACCCCCUUUGGCCAUUUACACACACACACGCACGCAUGCACACCACGCACACCACGCACACACACACAGCUCCUGCUAGAUGGAUUGAGUUACCUCUUAGUGGCAAUGGCUGCCUCUGUUUUGCAUCCUCUCCUCUAUUUUCAUCCCGGGAGCCGAGCAGUGCCCCAGUCAUUAACACUAGCAGCCCGCCUGUAACGGCAGCUAAAAGGUCUGCAUUCAUGAGGGACAUCCUGGAAACCAGAUGUGCAUGUGUGGUGAGAAUAUGUGUGCACGCAAAGGCCCUGGAAUCAAACGUGUCCAGAAGCAAUGGAUCAAGCCCUGCGUGUAUGCGCCUGAGCCCCCAGGGUCUAAGCGGUGCACAGGUCACCAAAGGCAAAGUGAAGGUUGGUUGGGAAGGGGGUCACCCAUAUGCAGACCCAGUUAGCAAAAAAAAAAACAUUACUGUUUAAUAUGACAGGUAAUUAAUCUCAAAUAAAUAGAUAUUUGGGAGCCAGAUAUUUGUAAAUGGAUAACUAAUAUUUAAACACACAUAUUAUAUUUCGACUCUGGGGAUGUUUCUAAAUUAGACACUAUGAUAAGUCACUCUUGAAAACUUCACCAUCUAAAAAUUCCACUUAAAGGGUCUUUAAAGAAUUACAUGGGUUUAUUUUUCAGGACUGACAAAGCAUCACUGAGAUUUUCAUUUACUUCAAAACCCCAGCAAAUAAUACCCAAACAUUGACAUGGUCGUUAAAAUAGCAUAAAUAGCCUAUGUAUUAUAAAUAAAAUGGCCUGACGUUAACACCACUGACAGGCGAUGCUUGCCAUGGUACAACAGUGUUAUGCUGGCAAAAAUCUGCAUUGACUUGGUUGUUACUUUGACACUUGCCUCCUACCUAUACAUUCUUGAAGACCAAUUACACUUUGCACAUGGCAACAGCUUUACCCUACGGUAGCACCUCCAAUCGCAUCCACCCCUUCCCAGGUAAGACARCGCUGGGUUUUGGAACAUCUCAAAGAAUACAAGAAACAGCCUGAAGUUUCCACCCAGCUUCCAAAAUCCUACAAUACCAAACUGAUGUCAUCUGUGAAAAGACACCAAAUAUCCAUGAAAAACCUAUCCAGCAACUCAGAGGAGUUUCAAAGAACGUUGCUUUUUUCAUACAAUGCUGCAUUAAUAUGUCUUGGACACAAAGCCACAAACUUUAAGGUGUUUUCAGGGAGUUUUUUCAUGACAGAGGGACACAUAGUAGUUCAUAGUUGUGUUUCAAACCAAGAAUCUGAAACGUGUGAUAUGCAUUUGUACGUAGCCUUACUGUUUGCUAUAAAGUAAAACUGUUUUAUGUAGACACUGUUUUUACAUACACUUUUAGUUUAUGUAAAACUACCUACAGCUCAGUGUGAGUGGAUGGUGAGCAUAUGUGAUAAGGACAUUUCUUCUCAGAUUCUCAGUUGAAUUUAGGUUUGGACUUUGACCGACUUGUCUGACUCAUGAAAACACAUUUAUUUCAUUGUAGAACUGGCAUCUCUUUAAGCUGUGAUGCAACCUGAGAAGAUUCACAAACAGUUACUUUAUAGUACUAGUUUGGGCACUGGUGCUGCUGUGGUACUCAAGACUGGUCUUAAGUAUUGUUUCUCUAUAAAAUCAUAAUUACAACCAGCUAUUGAAACUAAGUCUGAAAUUCCAAGCUGCAUUGAA